RNAcentral lists this ribosomal RNA (252 nucleotides) under uncultured bacterium. Its description in RNAcentral is "partial 16S ribosomal RNA". It matches the Rfam family "Bacterial small subunit ribosomal RNA", at positions 524 to 776 of the family's 1533-position model. The record is from RNAcentral.
UACGUAGGGGGCGAGCGUUAUCCGGAUUCAUUGGGCGUAAAGCGCGCGUAGGCGGCCGCCCAAGCGGAACCUCUAACCCCGGGGCUCAACCUCGGGCCGGGUUCCGGACUGGGCGGCUCGAGUGCGGUAGAGGAGAGCGGAAUUCCCGGUGUAGCGGUGGAAUGCGCAGAUAUCGGGAAGAACACCGAUGGCGAAGGCAGCUCUCUGGGCCGUCACUGACGCUGAGGCGCGAAAGCUGGGGGAGCGAACAGG